This 88-nucleotide microRNA precursor is filed under the name Jatropha curcas. RNAcentral's name for it is "mir-156 microRNA precursor family". It matches the Rfam family "mir-156 microRNA precursor family". From Rfam's summary of the family: This family represents the plant microRNA (miRNA) precursor mir-156. The record is from Rfam by way of RNAcentral. Lineage: Eukaryota; Viridiplantae; Streptophyta; Magnoliopsida; Malpighiales; Euphorbiaceae.
GUGACAGAAGAGAGUGAGCACACAUGGCACUUUCUUGCAUGUCCAUCAUCAUGCUCGAAGCUUUGCGUGCUCACUCUCUAUCUGUCAC